This 69-nucleotide transfer RNA is filed under the name Panesthia sloanei. Its description in RNAcentral is "tRNA-Ser". The record is from RNAcentral. Lineage: Eukaryota; Metazoa; Arthropoda; Insecta; Blattodea; Blaberidae.
AGUUAUUUAUCCAUAGAUGGUGUUAUGCUUUGAAAGCAUAUAAAAGAGGUUAAAUUCCUCUACUAWCUU